RNAcentral lists this ribosomal RNA (253 nucleotides) under uncultured microorganism. Its description in RNAcentral is "partial 16S ribosomal RNA". It matches the Rfam family "Bacterial small subunit ribosomal RNA", at positions 524 to 776 of the family's 1533-position model. The record is from RNAcentral.
UACGUAGGGGGCGAGCGUUGUCCGGAAUUACUGGGCGUAAAGCGCAUGUAGGCGGGCGACUAAGUCAGGGGUGAAAACCGUGGGCUCAACCUACGGCUUGCCCUUGAUACUGGUCGUCUUGAGUACAGGAGAGGGAAGCGGAAUUCCCGGUGUAGCGGUGAAAUGCGUAGAGAUUUGGAGGAACACCAGUGGCGAAGGCGACUGUCUGGUCUGUAACUGACACUGAGGCGCGAAAGCGUGGGGAGCAAACAGG